AAACCAACAGGGAUUGCCUCAGUAACGGCGAGUGAAGCGGCAAAAGCUCAAAUUUGAAAGCCUCGGCAUUGUAAUUUGAAAAGCCCCCACACACAUUAUACCACGUCAAGUCCAUUGGAAAAUGGCGCCGCAGAGGGUGACAGCCCCGUAGACUGCCGUAUAAUUACCUCGUGGUGGCUUCAAGAGUCGAGUUGUUUGGGAUUGCAGCUCUAACGGUGGUAAAUUCCAUCAAAAGCUAAAUACUGGCGAGAGACCGAUAGCGAACAAGUACAGUGAUGGAAAGAUGAAAAGCACUUUGAAAAGAGAGUGAAAAAGUACGUGAAAUUGUUGAAAGGGAAGGGCUUGCUCGGCUGCGGAGGUCGGGGAAAAGGAGGCCAAAACAAGCAAGGAAUGUAACUCUCGAGUAUUAUAUCCUCGCCCACACCCUCACUUCUCCCCGUGGACCGCUAACAGGAUCUCCCCACACCCUAGCAAGUCGC
RNAcentral lists this ribosomal RNA (479 nucleotides) under Metschnikowia sp. ST-96. RNAcentral's name for it is "eukaryotic LSU rRNA". It matches the Rfam family "Eukaryotic large subunit ribosomal RNA", at positions 62 to 552 of the family's 3401-position model. Lineage: Eukaryota; Fungi; Ascomycota; Pichiomycetes; Serinales; Metschnikowiaceae. The record is from RNAcentral.